CAGCAGCCACGGUAAUACAGAGGGUGCGAGCGUUAAUCGGAUUUACUGGGCGUAAAGCGUGCGUAGGCGGCUUUUUAAGUCGGAUGUGAAAUCCCUGAGCUUAACUUAGGAAUUGCAUUCGAUACUGGGAAGCUAGAGUAUGGGAGAGGAUGGUAGAAUUCCAGGUGUAGCGGUGAAAUGCGUAGAGAUCUGGAGGAAUACCGAUGGCGAAGGCAGCCAUCUGGCCUAAUACUGACGCUGAGGUACGAAAGCAUGGGGAGCAAACAGGAUUAGAUACCCGCGUAGUCCCUGUCUCUUAUAA
RNAcentral lists this ribosomal RNA (301 nucleotides) under uncultured bacterium. Its description in RNAcentral is "partial 16S ribosomal RNA". It matches the Rfam family "Bacterial small subunit ribosomal RNA", at positions 509 to 809 of the family's 1533-position model. The record is from RNAcentral.